GCAGAGUCACGCCUUAGUGGGGUGGCUCAUGGCUCAUGGUCGCUGCUUAGGACCCAUGCAGGGACACGGAGCCUGCCUGGUGCGCGCCCUGCCAGCGGAGGCUGACACGCAGGAAGCUGAUACCAUUACCUCAGCACUGUGUAAUCUGCCAGUGAAUAUGCAUGAGCACCUAAUUUGCAAGGAUUCAGAGAAAACAAUGGGAGCCUACAACAGGAUCAUAAACAAAGGGAAUAACUCACAGCAGCAAUUAGAAGUGUUUGGAGAUAAACUGGGAUGGUUUUUCAAGACCAAGUCUGGACCAAGAGUGAAUGUGAUGAAUCAUGAGACACACAUCUAAUCUUAUUGUUCAGCAAAGGGCAAUAUUUACAGGAUUGCGUGCUUUGCGAUCAAUUAUUGUAUUCAAGGGACAUUCACUUUUUCCGUAAGACUGUACUUCAUUCCUCAG
RNAcentral lists this long non-coding RNA (445 nucleotides) under Cavia porcellus (domestic guinea pig). Its description in RNAcentral is "lncRNA (ENSCPOG00000031833.1)". Lineage: Eukaryota; Metazoa; Chordata; Mammalia; Rodentia; Caviidae. The record is from RNAcentral.